This 1426-nucleotide unclassified non-coding RNA is filed under the name Ixodes scapularis (black-legged tick). RNAcentral describes it as "sulfotransferase 1C4, transcript variant X5". Lineage: Eukaryota; Metazoa; Arthropoda; Arachnida; Ixodida; Ixodidae. The record is from RNAcentral.
UUGGCGCAAUAUAGCCGUAGUUGCUGAUGCGCCAUAAACCCCCAAUCAAUCAAUCAAUCAAUCAAGCGAGCAGGGUGCUGCUCUCCUUGCCUUGGAUUAUCUAGCCAAUUAUGAAGUCACGAUCGCACCUCACCGCUCCCUAAACAUAGUCCACAGAUUUAUUCCCGAGGAUGAGCGUUUCGACUCCACAGAUAACGCAAUAGUUGAAAGUCUUUGUGCGCAAGGGGUCGUAGCCGCAAUGCGCAUCUCCUUGAGUCGUGACGACGUAACGGCCAGGAGCGCACAACUAAGCUUGCACUGUUAACUUUCAAUCCAUCAAACUUUCCGUGGGAGUAAAGACUGGGUACCCGCACUGCAGGGUGCGGCUUUACAUACCUAACCCUCGAAGGUACUUCGACAGCCAUAGGUUUGGACAUGGCUCACAGAAAUUCCGUGGCAAAGCCACGUGUGCCAAGUGUGGCAAGAGUGACAAUCCAGCAUACUCUUGCUUUAAUGAAAUCCACUGUGUCAACUGUAAUGAUCUGCACCCAGAAUGUUCACGAUCCUGUAAAACAUGAAAAAAAAAAGAUUACGUUGAAAGUAAAGAAAAGCUUCCUUUACUUUCAGGAUGAAGGAAGAAAACUACCCUCUCGGUCCACUAUCAUCAAUUGGGCGACAAGGUUUGCUCAAGACGGGAACGUGACAAACAAAUCUCCGAACCGUGUAGAAACGUCGCCGAAACGAAAAGAGCAGCAAGCCGUUUUUGACGCCGCUUUCGAAUUCGAAACGGAGCCCCACAUCUCGACGGGCGUGCUGCUCGUCAUCUCAGCCUUAGCCGGGACUUCGUGUGGCGGGUACUUCGCCGGCGAAUGUACCCGUUUAAAGCGCAGCUCCUACACGAACUGUAACGAAAGGACUACGCACGGGCGCAGGAUGGAUGCGACGGGGAUGCCAGGCGUAAGAUGAAACGUCAAUAUAAACCACAAGGCUUGAAAAACGGAAGCAGCAAUGAGCAUCCCCGAAUGAAAAAAAAAGAAGAGAAAAACAGAUCUCUAACUUGAAUGUAUCCGUAUCGACGUCAUCCUCAUUUUCUGCUUUUUCGUCGACGACCUCAGGGAGCAGGAAAAAUUCAAGGGGAAGUUCCAAGUCGCAGUCCAAGUAUAAACGCUGACUUCACGGGGAACACUUAAUCCAGACUGACGGAUCGCCGAGGAAGUGAAAUAACCUGAACGACUUCCUAAAAUACCAUUACAAAAGGACCUGACCGUACCAGAGCCAGUCUGAUACCGGAGCCCGAAGUUAGCCUAAUAUUCGUCAGACCAGCACCUCCCAGAGCUUGGCACAUAACGUACGCACACCUAUAUUACUUUCCCACAAACCCUCAUUCGCUGAAGGUAAGAACCUUUAAUAAAACAUUGAAAGGCACAAGGAGGUUUCAAGUUUAUUG